Molecule: ribosomal RNA, 425 nt
Filed under: uncultured bacterium
Lineage: Bacteria
Description: partial 16S ribosomal RNA
Rfam family: Bacterial small subunit ribosomal RNA
Source: RNAcentral
GUGGGGAAUCUUGCGCAAUGGGCGAAAGCCUGACGCAGCCAUGCCGCGUGAAUGAUGAAGGUCUUAGGAUUGUAAAAUUCUUUCACCGGGGACGAUAAUGACGGUACCCGGAGAAGAAGCUCCGGCUAACUUCGUGUCAGCAGCCGCGGUAAUACGAAGGGGGCUAGCGUUGCUCGGAAUUACUGGGCGUAAAGGGCGCGUAGGCGGACAGCUUAGUCAGAGGUGAAAGCCCAGGGCUCAACCUUGGAAUUGCCUUUGAUACUGGCUGUCUUGAGUUUGGGAGAGGUGAGUGGAACUCCGAGUGUAGAGGUGAAAUUCGUAGAUAUUCGGAAGAACACCAGUGGCGAAGGCGGCUCACUGGCUCGAUACUGACGCUGAGGUGCGAAAGCGUGGGGAGCAAACAGGAUUAGAAACCCCAGUAGUCC